This 425-nucleotide ribosomal RNA is filed under the name uncultured bacterium. Its description in RNAcentral is "bacterial SSU rRNA". It matches the Rfam family "Bacterial small subunit ribosomal RNA", at positions 958 to 1397 of the family's 1533-position model. The record is from RNAcentral.
AACGCGAAGAACCUUACCAAGGCUUGACAUCCUGGGAAGUUUCGAGAAAUCGAGAUGUGCCUUCGGGAACCCAGUGACAGGUGAUGCAUGGCUGUCGUCAGCUCGUGUCGUGAGAUGUUAGGUUAAGUCCUUCAACGAGCGCAACCCUCGUGGCUAGUUGUAUAUUUCUAGCCAGACCGCCUCGGUAACGGGGAGGAAGGAGAGGAUGACGCCUGGUCCGUAUUUCCCUUAUGUCUUGGGCGACACACACGCUACAAUGGCCGGUACAAUGGGCUGCUAAGUCGCAAGGCGGAGCUAACCCCACCAAAACCGGUCUCAGUUCGGAUUGCAGGCUGCAACUCGCCUGCAUGAAGUCGGAAUCGCUAGUAACCGUAGGUCAGCAUACUACGGUGAAUACGUUCCCGGGCCUUGUACACACCGCGAGC